GACGAACGCUGGCGGCGUGCUUAACACAUGCAAGUCGAACGGUGAUGCUCCAGCUUGCUGGAGUGGAUCAGUGGCGAACGGGUGAGUAACGCGUGAGCAACCUGCCCCAGACUCUGGAAUAAGCGCUGGAAACGGCGUCUAAUACUGGAUACGAAACUGGCCCGCAUGGGCAUGGUUUGGAAAGUUUUUCGGUUUGGGAUGGGCUCGCGGCCUAUCAGCUUGUUGGUGAGGUAAUGGCUCACCAAGGCGACGACGGGUAGCCGGCCUGAGAGGGCGACCGGCCACACUGGGACUGAGACACGGCCCAGACUCCUACGGGAGGCAGCAGUGGGGAAUAUUGCACAAUGGGCGAAAGCCUGAUGCAGCGACGCCGCGUGAGGGAUGACGGCCUUCGGGUUGUAAACCUCUUUCAGCAGGGAAGAAGCGAAAGUGACGGUACCUGCAGAAGAAGCACCGGCUAACUACGUG
RNAcentral lists this ribosomal RNA (468 nucleotides) under uncultured bacterium. Its description in RNAcentral is "partial 16S ribosomal RNA". It matches the Rfam family "Bacterial small subunit ribosomal RNA", at positions 28 to 507 of the family's 1533-position model. The record is from RNAcentral.